This 151-nucleotide small nuclear RNA is filed under the name Yarrowia lipolytica CLIB122. RNAcentral's name for it is "U1 spliceosomal RNA". It matches the Rfam family "U1 spliceosomal RNA". Rfam says of the family: U1 is a small nuclear RNA (snRNA) component of the spliceosome (involved in pre-mRNA splicing). Its 5' end forms complementary base pairs with the 5' splice junction, thus defining the 5' donor site of an intron. The record is from RNAcentral. Lineage: Eukaryota; Fungi; Ascomycota; Dipodascomycetes; Dipodascales.
AUACUUACCUUAGGCAAAUUCCUGGCGAUCAAGUUGGCCAGGAUUUCGGACUAGAGGUUGGCAUUGCACAGCGCCGACGUUCUCGACUGCUGCCUACGGGCGGGGCCUAUAAUUUUUGUUUUUUUUCACAUGCCAUUGCUGGCUGUGGAGC